This 875-nucleotide ribosomal RNA is filed under the name Escherichia coli. RNAcentral describes it as "partial 23S ribosomal RNA". It matches the Rfam family "Bacterial large subunit ribosomal RNA", at positions 1010 to 1869 of the family's 2925-position model. The record is from RNAcentral. Lineage: Bacteria; Pseudomonadati; Pseudomonadota; Gammaproteobacteria; Enterobacterales; Enterobacteriaceae.
GUGAAGAGGGAAACAACCCAGACCGCCAGCUAAGGUCCCAAAGUCAUGGUUAAGUGGGAAACGAUGUGGGAAGGCCCAGACAGCCAGGAUGUUGGCUUAGAAGCAGCCAUCAUUUAAAGAAAGCGUAAUAGCUCACUGGUCGAGUCGGCCUGCGCGGAAGAUGUAACGGGGCUAAACCAUGCACCGAAGCUGCGGCAGCGACGCUGAUGCGUUGUUGGGUAGGGGAGCGUUCUGUAAGCCUGCGAAGGUGUGCUGUGAGGCAUGCUGGAGGUAUCAGAAGUGCGAAUGCUGACAUAAGUAACGAUAAAGCGGGUGAAAAGCCCGCUCGCCGGAAGACCAAGGGUUCCUGUCCAACGUUAAUCGGGGCAGGGUGAGUCGACCCCUAAGGCGAGGCCGAAAGGCGUAGUCGAUGGGAAACAGGUUAAUAUUCCUGUACUUGGUGUUACUGCGAAGGGGGGACGGAGAAGGCUAUGUUGGCCGGGCGACGGUUGUCCCGGUUUAAGCGUGUAGGCUGGUUUUCCAGGCAAAUCCGGAAAAUCAAGGCUGAGGCGUGAUGACGAGGCACUACGGUGCUGAAGCAACAAAUGCCCUGCUUCCAGGAAAAGCCUCUAAGCAUCAGGUAACAUCAAAUCGUACCCCAAACCGACACAGGUGGUCAGGUAGAGAAUACCAAGGCGCUUGAGAGAACUCGGGUGAAGGAACUAGGCAAAAUGGUGCCGUAACUUCGGGAGAAGGCACGCUGAUAUGUAGGUGAAGUCCCUCGCGGAUGGAGCUGAAAUCAGUCGAAGAUACCAGCUGGCUGCAACUGUUUAUUAAAAACACAGCACUGUGCAAACACGAAAGUGGACGUAUACGGUGUGACGCCUGCCCGGUGC